AGUGAGCGCUGGCGGUAGGCCUAACACAUGCAAGUCGAACGGCAGCACAGUAAGAGCUUGCUCUUACGGGUGGCGAGUGGCGGACGGGUGGGGAAUACAUCGGAAUCUACUUUUUCGUGGGGGAUAACGUAGGGAAACUUACGCUAAUACCGCAUACGACCUACGGGUGAAAGCAGGGGAUCUUCGGACCUUGCGCGAUUGAAUGAGCCGAUGUCGGAUUAGCUAGUUGGCGGGGUAAAGGCCCACCAAGGCGACGAUCCGUAGCUGGUCUGAGAGGAUGAUCAGCCACACUGGAACUGAGACACGGUCCAGACUCCUACGGGAGGCAGCAGUGGGGAAUAUUGGACAAUGGGCGCAAGCCUGAUCCAGCCAUACCGCGUGGGUGAAGAAGGCCUUCGGGUUGUAAAGCCCUUUUGUUGGGAAAGAAAAGCAGCAGGUUAAUACCCCGCUGUUCUGACGGUACCCAAAGAAUAAGCACCGGCUAACUUCGUG
Molecule: ribosomal RNA, 492 nt
Filed under: uncultured bacterium
Lineage: Bacteria
Description: partial 16S ribosomal RNA
Rfam family: Bacterial small subunit ribosomal RNA
Source: RNAcentral